GUGGUUUUAGCUCAGUCGGUUAGAGCGCCUGAUUGUGGUUCAGGAGGUCGCCGGUUCGAGCCCGGUAUUCCACCCCA
This 77-nucleotide transfer RNA is filed under the name Bacteroidota bacterium. RNAcentral describes it as "tRNA-His". It matches the Rfam family "tRNA". From Rfam's summary of the family: Transfer RNA (tRNA) molecules are approximately 80 nucleotides in length. Their secondary structure includes four short double-helical elements and three loops (D, anti-codon, and T loops). The record is from RNAcentral. Lineage: Bacteria; Pseudomonadati; Bacteroidota.